Molecule: ribosomal RNA, 1351 nt
Filed under: synthetic construct
Also listed under: 2 other names
Description: bacterial SSU rRNA
Rfam family: Bacterial small subunit ribosomal RNA
Source: RNAcentral
AGAGUUUGAUCCUGGCUCAGGAUGAAUUUUGGCGGCGUGCCUAACACAUGCAAGUCGAACGAUGAAACCGCCCUCGGGCGGACAUGAAGUGGCGAACGGGUGAGUAACACGUGACCAACCUGCCCCUUGCUCCGGGACAACCUUGGGAAACCGAGGCUAAUACCGGAUACUCCUCGCCCCCCUCCUGGGGGGCCCGGGAAAGCCCAGACGGCAAGGGAUGGGGUCGCGGCCCAUUAGGUAGUAGGCGGGGUAACGGCCCACCUAGCCCGCGAUGGGUAGCCGGGUUGAGAGACCGACCGGCCACAUUGGGACUGAGAUACGGCCCAGACUCCUACGGGAGGCAGCAGUGGGGAAUUUUGCGCAAUGGGGGAAACCCUGACGCAGCAACGCCGCGUGCGGGACGACGGCCUUCGGGUUGUAAACCGCUUUCAGCAGGGAAGAAAUUCGACGGUACCUGCAGAAGAAGCUCCGGCUAACUACGUGCCAGCAGCCGCGGUAAUACGUAGGGAGCGAGCGUUAUCCGGAUUCAUUGGGCGUAAAGCGCGCGUAGGCGGCCCGGCAGGCCGGGGGUCGAAGCGGGGGGCUCAACCCCCCGAAGCCCCCGGAACCUCCGCGGCUUGGGUCCGGUAGGGGAGGGUGGAACACCCGGUGUAGCGGUGGAAUGCGCAGAUAUCGGGUGGAACACCGGUGGCGAAGGCGGCCCUCUGGGCCGAGACCGACGCUGAGGCGCGAAAGCUGGGGGAGCGAACAGGAUUAGAUACCCUGGUAGUCCCAGCCGUAAACGAUGGACGCUAGGUGUGGGGGGACGAUCCCCCCGUGCCGCAGCCAACGCAUUAAGCGUCCCGCCUGGGGAGUACGGCCGCAAGGCUAAAAACUCAAAGGAAUUGACGGGGGCCCGCACAAGCAGCGGAGCAUGUGGCUUAAUUCGAAGCAACGCGAAGAACCUUACCAGGGCUUGACAUAUGGGUGAAGCGGGGGAGACCCCGUGGCCGAGAGGGAGCCCAUACAGGUGGUGCAUGGCUGUCGUCAGCUCGUGUCGUGAGAUGUUGGGUUAAGUCCCGCAACGAGCGCAACCCCCGCCGCGUGUUGCCAUCGGGUGAUGCCGGGAACCCACGCGGGACCGCCGCCGUCAAGGCGGAGGAGGGCGGGGACGACGUCAAGUCAUCAUGCCCCUUAUGCCCUGGGCUGCACACGUGCUACAAUGGCCGGUACAGAGGGAUGCCACCCCGCGAGGGGGAGCGGAUCCCGGAAAGCCGGCCCCAGUUCGGAUUGGGGGCUGCAACCCGCCCCCAUGAAGUCGGAGUUGCUAGUAAUCGCGGAUCAGCAUGCCGCGGUGAAUGCGUUCCCGGGC